AUACUCUGGUUUCUCUUCAGAUCGCAUAAAUCUUUCGCCUUUUACUAUAGAUUUCCGUGGAGAGGAACAAUUCUGAGUUUUGAACCAAUUUUUUGAGGUCUUGCUCUUUGCAAGACC
Molecule: small nuclear RNA, 117 nt
Filed under: Rhinolophus ferrumequinum (greater horseshoe bat)
Lineage: Eukaryota; Metazoa; Chordata; Mammalia; Chiroptera; Rhinolophidae
Description: U5 spliceosomal RNA (ENSRFEG00010016205.1)
Rfam family: U5 spliceosomal RNA
About the family: U5 RNA is a component of both types of known spliceosome. The precise function of this molecule is unknown, though it is known that the 5' loop is required for splice site selection and p220 binding, and that both the 3' stem-loop and the Sm site are important for Sm protein binding and cap methylation.
Source: Rfam by way of RNAcentral